Molecule: long non-coding RNA, 1635 nt
Filed under: Manihot esculenta (cassava)
Lineage: Eukaryota; Viridiplantae; Streptophyta; Magnoliopsida; Malpighiales; Euphorbiaceae
Description: long non-coding RNA (MESC_LNC007504)
Source: RNAcentral
CUCUGUAGUUCUGCUGUCAAGGUGAUUUGCCCAGUUUUCUUCGAGUGAUUUGGGCAAAUUACUGGGCAAAUCACUUUUGCUGUCAUUUUCUGCACUUUUUCUCCAACUCUUCAAUUUCUUCCUUUUCUACAAAAACAUAACAAAAACACAAUUUAAGCUAGAAAAAUAUGUGAAUAAACAGUAAAUAAUAUAUUAAAAACAUGGCUAAAUUAUGCUUGAUCAAAUACCCCCACACCUAGCUUUUUGCUUGUCCUCAAGCAAACAAUAACUUAGCCAAUCAAGUUCCUUUUUCCUUAGAGCCUAAGUACCACUUAAUCAGCCCCCCCUAGACUCCUAAUCUGAAUUAUCACAGUAUAGAGUACAUGCACUAAGGUCAUCCUCUCAUUUCCUUGUUUCCUUUCACCUACCAUGGUCAAGAGAAAGGUUUUUGAAUCAAUCAUGCUUAUUCCUUUAUGUUAGUUUUAAUGCAACCCCUAGAAGUGACCUGCCAUCUUCUCUCUUUCUCCUUUUUAUUUAAUUUAUAUUUUUAUUUUCAGCAGCACUUAUUCUUAUCCUUGCCUGAAAAAGUCACUAACCUUUUUACGCGAUUGUGUACAUGGGUGAUACACCCCCGGUUACUCAGUUAGUCACUUGUUCAAGUGGCUACUAGCUCUGUUCAUAGUCUAGACCAUCGAAACUUAUUCGCUUGAAAAAGUUACUGACCUUUUUACGCGAUUGUGUACAUGGGUGAUACACCCCCGGUUACUCAGUUAGUUACUUCUCCAAGUGGCUAUUAGGCUCAGUUCAUAGUCUUAGACCAUUGGAACAAGUUUGUGAUUUGUGCUUUGUGCUGGUUUUUCAUGAUAAUUUGGGCAAAUCAGCUCAUAGGGAGUUACACUCACUUUGUGUUUGCAUGUAUUUGUAUUUUAAUUUCCCUUGACCUUAGCAAAUUUAAGGAUUCAAUUCAAGAGAAAAACUCCCUAAGUGAAGGUAACAUACUGUGAAUGAUUCAAUUUAGGCUUAAAGGGGUGGUAGAUCAAUGGGGUCAUGAGAUAAGGAAACUCUUUUAACCUUGUUAUCUAAGUUGAGUAGAGCAAAAACCAAGACAAAAUUCUGUGUGUGUGUGCAAAACGUGUGAAAAAAUUCUGGUGUGUGCAAAAAGGGGUAAGAAUAAUGCAAAAAGAAAAAAGAAACAAAAAGAAACAAAAAGAAACAAAAAGAAAUCAAAAAGAAAUAAAAAAGAAAUCAAAAGAUGGUGUGAUCAGUGAAUAAAUACUCUCCAGUACCCCCACACCUAUCCCACAUAUUGUCCUCAAUGUGUGAAUAAACAUAUAGAAAAAUGAAGGAGAAAAGGGAAAGAUAUUUCCUGGCCUGGGGGUGAUUUGACCAGUGACUUGGGCAAGCACUGGGCAAAUCACUGGGCAAAUCGCUAUCUGUCACGGUGCUGGGGCAGAAAAAUGUUGAACCAGCAGCUGCAACAUGCUUUCCAUGUGCUGCAUCCUGUCUUGAGCCUCCGCCGAAUGGUCUUGAGGUGCCUUUUAUGUCCUCCAAGGUCCACCCAAUUUCUUUUUUGUGCUUCCUUAACACAUCAAGGAGCUUUUCUUCUUCUUUUUGGCUGAGCUGGUUGGAAAUAUUUACUGGAAGUGUAUUUCCAGC